CCUACGGGAGGCAGCAGUGAGGAAUAUUGGUCAAUGGGAGAGAUCCUGAACCAGCCAAGCCGCGUGAGGGAAGACGGCCCUAUGGGUUGUAAACCUCUUUUGUCGGAGAACAAAACCCGGGACGAGUCCCGGACUGCGUGUAUCCGAAGAAAAAGCAUCGGCUAACUCCGUGCCAGCAGCCGCGGUAAUACGGAGGAUGCGAGCGUUAUCCGGAUUUAUUGGGUUUAAAGGGUGCGUAGGCGGUCUGUUAAGUCAGCGGUAAAAGUGCGGGGCUCAACCCCGUCGAGCCGUUGAAACUGGCAGACUUGAGUUGGCGAGAAGUACGCGGAAUGCGCGGUGUAGCGGUGAAAUGCAUAGAUAUCGCGCAGAACUCCGAUUGCGAAGGCAGCGUACCGGCGCCAGACUGACGCUGAGGCACGAAAGCGUGGGGAUCGAACAGGAUUAGAUACCCUUGUAGUC
RNAcentral lists this ribosomal RNA (459 nucleotides) under uncultured bacterium. Its description in RNAcentral is "partial 16S ribosomal RNA". It matches the Rfam family "Bacterial small subunit ribosomal RNA", at positions 338 to 795 of the family's 1533-position model. The record is from RNAcentral.